AUUGAACGCUGGCGGCAGGCCUAACACAUGCAAGUCGAGCGGAUGAAGGGAGCUUGCUCCUGGAUUCAGCGGCGGACGGGUGAGUAAUGCCUAGGAAUCUGCCUGGUAGUGGGGGAUAACGUCCGGAAACGGGCGCUAAUACCGCAUACGUCCUGAGGGAGAAAGUGGGGGAUCUUCGGACCUCACGCUAUCAGAUGACCCUAGGUCGGGUUAGCUAGUUGGUGGGGUAAAGGCCUACCAAGGCGACGAUCCGUAACUGGUCUGAGAGGAUGAUCAGUCACACUGGAACUGAGACACGGUCCAGACUCCUACGGGAGGCAGCAGUGGGGAAUAUUGGACAAUGGGCGAAAGCCUGAUCCAGCCAUGCCGCGUGUGUGAAGAAGGUCUUCGGAUUGUAAAGCACUUUAAGUUGGGAGGAAGGGCAGUAAGUUAAUACCUUGCUGUUUUGACGUUACCAACAGAAUAAGCACCGGCUAACUUCGUG
This 484-nucleotide ribosomal RNA is filed under the name uncultured bacterium. RNAcentral describes it as "partial 16S ribosomal RNA". It matches the Rfam family "Bacterial small subunit ribosomal RNA", at positions 30 to 507 of the family's 1533-position model. The record is from RNAcentral.